ACCUACGGGGCGCAGCAGUAGGGAAUCUUCCACAAUGGGCGAAAGCCUGAUGGAGCAACGCCGCGUGGGUGAAGAAGGUCUUCGGAUCGUAAAACCCUGUUGUUAGAGAAGAAAGUGCGUGAGAGUAACUGUUCACGUUUCGACGGUAUCUAACCAGAAGCCACGGCUAACUACGUGCCAGCAGCCGCGGUAAUACGUAGGUGGCAAGCGUUAUCCGGAUUUAUUGGGCGUAAAGGGAACGCAGGCGGUCUUUUAAGGUUGAUGUGAAAGCCUUCGGCUUAACCGGAGUAGUGCAUUGGAAACUG
RNAcentral lists this ribosomal RNA (305 nucleotides) under uncultured bacterium. RNAcentral describes it as "bacterial SSU rRNA". It matches the Rfam family "Bacterial small subunit ribosomal RNA", at positions 337 to 635 of the family's 1533-position model. The record is from RNAcentral.